RNAcentral lists this ribosomal RNA (1323 nucleotides) under metagenome. Its description in RNAcentral is "SSU rRNA". It matches the Rfam family "Eukaryotic small subunit ribosomal RNA", at positions 603 to 1767 of the family's 1831-position model. The record is from RNAcentral.
AUUAAAGUUGCUGCGGUUAAAAAGCUCGUAGUUGGAUUACGAAGUGGUGUUUAAAUGUCAUUUUGGUUUGUUUGUCUUUCGGGGCAUUCAGGUCAACUUGGCUUUUACUCACUGUUGUCAUUGUCUUUGCCCAAGGUAUAUGCCUUGUGUGCAUGGCAUUGACCUUCUAUUUUAUGGUAAUGUUGUAUCUUUCGGGGUACAUUCAUUCCAUAUAGUUUACUUUGAAAAAAUUAGGGUGUUUAAAGCAGGCGAAAAGGCUUCGGAAUAUAUUAGCAUGGGAUAAUAGAAUACGAUCUAGGUCGUAAUUUGUUGGUUUCUACGGCUUAGGUAAUGAUUGACAGGGAUAGUUGGGGUCCUCGUAUUGAGUUGUCAGAGGUGAAAUUCUAGGAUUAACUCAAGACGAACUAAUGCGAAAGCAUUCGGCAAGGAUGUUUUCAUUAAUCAAGAACGAAAGUUGGGGGAUCGAAGAUGAUCAGAUACCGUCGUAGUCUCAACUGUAAACUAUGUCGACCGAGGAUCCGGUAUCGUUACAUGGAUGACCUUCCGGGCACUCUGUGAGAAAUCAUAAGUAUUUGGAUUUCGGGGGGAGUAUGGUCGCAAGGCUGAAACUUAAAGGGAUUGACGGAAGGGCACCACCAGGAGUGGAAUCUGCGGCUUAAUUUGACUCAACACGGGAAAACUUACCAGGUCCGGACACAGUGAGGAUUGACAGAUUGAGAGCUCUUUCUUGAUUUUGUGGGUGGUGGUUCAUGGCCGUUUUUAGUUGGUGGAGUGAUUUGUCUGUUUAAUUCCGUUAACGAACGAGACCUUAACCUAUUAAAUAGCUGCGCGAACCCAGGUUCUUUAACCAUUCUCUCCUUCGGGGGGGCGUGGUAUCAUUAUUUUGCUUUUCACUUUCGGGUGGGAGGUAGGGUAGUGAUAGGGCCUGAGAUGAGUUGGUGAUUUGGCUUCUUAGAGGGACUACUUGCAUCCUUAGCAAGGGGAGGUUUGAGGCAAAAACAGGUCUGUGAUGCCCUUCGAUGUUCUGGGCUGCACGCGCGUUACACUGGCGCAUGCAAAGAGUUUAAAAUUCCUGUCCCGAUGGGGUUGGGAAAUCUUUUUAAAGUGCGUCGUGAUGCGGAUAGAGCAUUGAAAUUAUUGCUCUUGAACGAGGAAUUCCUAGUAAUUGCAGGUCAUCAACCUGCAAUGAUUACGUCCCUGCCCUUUGUACACACCGCCCGUCGCUCCUACCGAUGGUUGAACCGAUGAGGACUCGGGAUGAUCUUAUUAGAUCGGUCGGUCGAAAGAUCGAUAGACUAUUAGGUCAGAACUUGUUCAAAUCUU